CGGAGGGAUCAUUACAGAGUUGCAAAACUCCAAAUCCCAUUUGUGAAUAUAUACCAUAGUUUCCUGUUGCCUCGGCGGGCGCGGGAGUCGACGCCCUCGUCGGGCGGCGGCGACCGCCCCCGGGCCCCUGGGCCGCCCGCCGGAGCGUACAGCACACUUAUACCCGAACCAACUGUACGAGCAGCGAGAAAGCCGCCGGACGAGCUCUGAGUGGGAUAGAAAACCAGUCAAAACUUUCAACAACGGAUCUCUUGGUUCUGGCAUCGAUGAAGAACGCAGCGAAAUGCGAUAAGUAAUGUGAAUUGCAGAAUUCAGUGAAUCAUCGAAUCUUUGAACGCACAUUGCGCCCGCCAGCAUUCUGGCGGGCAUGCCUGUCCGAGCGUCAUUUCAACCCUCAAGCCCUGCGGCUUGGUGUUGGAGGCACUGUGGCACUCGCCGCAGUCCUCUGAAAAACAGUGGCGGGACCGCCAGCAGCGACCGAGCGCAGUACACAUCUCGCUCCGGAGCCGCCUGCGCCGUGGUGCCCACGCCGAAAAGCCCUGCUACCCAAGAGUUGACCUCGGAUCAGGUAGGAAUACCCGCUGAACUUAAGCAUAUCAAUAAGCGGAGGAAAAGAAACCAACAGGGAUUGCCUCAGUAGCGGCGAGCGAAGCGGCAACAGCUCAAAUUUGAAAUCUGG
RNAcentral lists this ribosomal RNA (679 nucleotides) under fungal endophyte. Its description in RNAcentral is "eukaryotic LSU rRNA". The stretch from base 232 to 385 matches the Rfam family "5.8S ribosomal RNA". Lineage: Eukaryota; Fungi. The record is from RNAcentral.